This 125-nucleotide small RNA is filed under the name Marmota monax (woodchuck). Lineage: Eukaryota; Metazoa; Chordata; Mammalia; Rodentia; Sciuridae. The record is from RNAcentral.
GCUGGGCACGGCAGCACAUGCCUGUAAUCUUGGCAGCUCAGGAGGCUGAGACAGGAGGAUCAUGAGUUCAAAGCCAGCCUCAGCAAGAGCAAGGCACUAAGCAACUCAGUGAGACCCUGUCUCUA